RNAcentral lists this ribosomal RNA (1446 nucleotides) under uncultured bacterium. RNAcentral describes it as "16S ribosomal RNA". It matches the Rfam family "Bacterial small subunit ribosomal RNA". The record is from RNAcentral.
GUUUGAUCAUGGCUCAGAACGUACGCUGGCGGCACGCCUAACACAUGCAAGUCGAACGAAGUAGCAAUACUUAGUGGCAGACGGGUGAGUAACAUGUGGGUAUCUGCCCUUUGGCCUGGAAUAACACGAGGAAACUUGUGCUAAUACCGGAUAAGUCUUUACGGAGAAAGCUUUAUGCACCAUUGGAUGAGCCCGCACUUGAUUAGUUUGUUGGUGGGGUAAUGGCCUACCAAGACUGUGAUCAAUAGCUGAUUUGAGAGGAUGAUCAGCCACAUUGGGACUGAGACACGGCCCAAACUCCUACGGGAGGCAGCAGUGGGGAAUCUUGCACAAUGGAGGAAACUCUGAUGCAGCGAUGCCGCGUGAGUGAAGAAGGCCCUUGGGUUGUAAAGCUCUUUCGUCGGGGAAGAAAAUGACUGUACCCGAAUAAGAAGGUCCGGCUAACUUCGUGCCAGCAGCCGCGGUAAUACGAAGGGACCUAGCGUAGUUCGGAAUUACUGGGCUUAAAGAGUUCGUAGGUGGUUGAAAAAGUUAGUGGUGAAAUCCCAGAGCUUAACUCUGGAACUGCCAUUAAAACUUUUCAGCUAGAGUAUGAUAGAGGAAAGCAGAAUUUCUAGUGUAGAGGUGAAAUUCGUAGAUAUUAGAAAGAAUACCAAUUGCGAAGGCAGCUUUCUGGAUCAUUACUGACACUGAGGAACGAAAGCAUGGGUAGCGAAGAGGAUUAGAUACCCUCGUAGUCCAUGCCGUAAACGAUGUGUGUUAGACGUUGGAAAUUUAUUUUCAGUGUCGCAGCGAAAGCGAUAAACACACCGCCUGGGGAGUACGACCGCAAGGUUAAAACUCAAAUGAAUUGACGGGGACCCGCACAAGUAGUGGAGCAUGUGGUUUAAUUCGAAGAUACGCGCAGAACCUUACCAACACUUGACAUGUUCGUCGCGACUCUGAGAGAUCAGAGUUUUCGGUUCGGCCGGACGAAACACAGGUGCUGCAUGGCUGUCGUCAGCUCGUGUCGUGAGAUGUUGGGUUAAGUCCCGCAACGAGCGCAACCCCUACCUUUAGUUGCCACCAUUAAGUUGGGCACUUUAAAGGAACUGCCAGUGAUAAGCUGGAGGAAGGUGGGGAUGACGUCAAGUCCUCAUGGCCCUUACGUGUUGGGCUACACACGUGCUACAAUGGCACUUACAGUGGGAAGCUAAGACGCGAGUCCAAGCUAAUCCCUAAAAUGUGCCUCAGUUCGGAUUGCACUCUGUAACUCGAGUGCAUGAAGCUGGAAUUACUAGUAAUCGCGGAUCAGCGCGCCGCGGUGAAUACGUUCCCGGGUCUUGUACACACCGCCCGUCACACCAUGGAAGUUGGUUACACCUUAAGGCAAAUCGUCAACCUUCGGGAGACAUUUGACUACGGUACGAUCAGCAACUGGGGUGAAGUCGUAACAAGGUAGCCGUA